GUCCACGCCCUAAACGAUGUCAACUGGAUGUUGGGUGGGUUAAACCACUUAGUGUCGUAGCUAACGCGUGAAGUUGACCGCCUGGGGAGUACGGCCGCAAGGCUAAAACUCAAAGGAAUUGACGGGGACCCCGCACAAGCGGUGGAUGAUGUGGAUUAAUUCGAUGCAACGCGAAAACCUUACCUACCCUUGACAUGUCAGGAAUCUUUGAGAGAUUGAAGAGUGCCCGAAAGGGAGCCUGAACACAGGUGCUGCAUGGCUGUCGU
This 266-nucleotide ribosomal RNA is filed under the name uncultured bacterium. Its description in RNAcentral is "partial 16S ribosomal RNA". It matches the Rfam family "Bacterial small subunit ribosomal RNA", at positions 793 to 1055 of the family's 1533-position model. The record is from RNAcentral.